RNAcentral lists this long non-coding RNA (1216 nucleotides) under Falco tinnunculus (common kestrel). RNAcentral's name for it is "lncRNA (ENSFTIG00000007319.1)". The record is from RNAcentral. Lineage: Eukaryota; Metazoa; Chordata; Aves; Falconiformes; Falconidae.
UCCUAGGAGGUCCCCUGGGCUACCCAGUCCCUCCCAGUGUCUCCCAGCACCUUCCAAUUCCCUCCUAGGGGGUCCUCUGGGCCACCCAGAAUCUCCCAGUGCCUCCCAGUUCCCUCCCAGUUCCCCCCUAGGGGGUCCUCUAGGCCACCCAGCACCUCCCAGUGCCUCCCAGUUCCCUCCUAGUGCCUCCCAGUUCCCUGCCAGUGCCUCCCAGUUUCCUUCCAGUGCCUCCAAGUUCCUUCCUAGGAGGUCCCCUGGGCCACCCAGAACCUCUCAGUGCAUCCCAGUGCCUCCCAGUUCCCUCUCAGUACCUCCCAGUUCCCUCCUAGGGGGUCCUCUGGGCCACCCAGCACCUCCCAGUUCCCUCCCAGCUCUCUCUUUCCCUCCCCAGUGCUCCCAGUGACCCAAUGUCUCCCACCCACUGCCUAUUAAUGUCUCCCAGUUCCCUCCCAGUGCCUCCCAGUUCCCUCCCAGUUCCCUCCUAGGAGGUCUCCUGGGCCACCCAGCAACUCCUCGUGUCACCCCCGUGUCCUCCCAGCUCUACCAGUUCCCUCCCAGUGCUCCCAGUGACCUACCGCUUCCCACCCACUGCCUAUCAGUGUCUCCCAGUGCCCUCCCAGUGCCUCCCAGUUCUUUCCCAACACUGCCUCAUUACCCCUCGGUGGCCCCCAGUGCCUCCCUGCCUCACACCAUUUCCUCCUGCUGCCUGACAAGUCUUCCCGGUAGCCUCCAGUUCCCUCCCAGUGCCCCCAGUUCCCCCCCAGGUACACUGUCAGCACCUCCCAGUUUCCUCCCAGUACCCCUCAGUGUCUCCCUGGUGCCUCCCAGUGCUUUUCCAUUCCUUCCCAUGUGCUCCCAGUGCCCCCAGUUCAUCUCCAGCUCCUUCCCAGUACCCUCCCUGCAACCUUCUCAUUCCCUUCUACACGCCACCAGUGCUCCCAGUGCUUCCCAGUGCCUACCUUGUGGCGUCCCCCAGUAUCUUCUCUCACCCUCUUACCUGCACCAGUACACUCCCACUGCCUCCCAGUGCCUCCAGUUCACCCACAGCUCCCUCCCAGUACCAGUUCCAUGCUGUCUUUUGCCUCCCAGUGCUUCCUCCUUCCUUCCCACUCACACCAGUAUGCUCCCACUGCCUCCCAGUGUCCCCAGUUCACCUGCAGCUCCUUCCCAGGACUCCCCAGUGCCUCCUGAGGCCUCCCAGUACCUUCCACUUGCU